This 200-nucleotide long non-coding RNA is filed under the name Elaeis guineensis (African oil palm). RNAcentral's name for it is "long non-coding RNA (EGUI_LNC012200)". Lineage: Eukaryota; Viridiplantae; Streptophyta; Magnoliopsida; Arecales; Arecaceae. The record is from RNAcentral.
CCUUCAGAUCGGGCUGCCAUCGAUGGAUGGCCACCAGCCAUACCCCCAUGCAUGGACCUCUAGCAUCCGCAACCAACUCCUCCCCAUCGGCCAGAGCCUCCAUCUCCAAGCUUUAACCCACUAAGGCACCUCCUUCCCCACCCACAAGAGCCUCCGUCUCUAAGCUUUAACCCACAGAGACAACUCCUUUCCCACCCACC